GAGUGGAUCCUGAGUACGACGGAGCACGUGAAAUUCCGUCGGAAUCUGGGAGGACCAUCUCCUAAGGCUAAAUACUCUCUAGUGACCGAUAGUGAACCAGUACCGUGAGGGAAAGGUGAAAAGCACCCCGGAAGGGGAGUGAAAUAGAACCUGAAACCGUGUGCUUACAAGUAGUCAGAGCCCGUUAAUGGGUGAUGGCGUGCCUUUUGUAGAAUGAACCGGCGAGUUACGAUUUGAUGCAAGGUUAAGCAGUAAAUGUGGAGCCGUAGCGAAAGCGAGUCUGAAUAGGGCGUUUAGUAUUUGGUCGUAGACCCGAAACCAGGUGAUCUACCCUUGGUCAGGUUGAAGUUCAGGUAACACUGAAUGGAGGACCGAACCGACUUACGUUGAAAAGUGAGCGGAUGAACUG
This 409-nucleotide ribosomal RNA is filed under the name Escherichia coli. RNAcentral's name for it is "partial 23S ribosomal RNA". It matches the Rfam family "Bacterial large subunit ribosomal RNA", at positions 399 to 811 of the family's 2925-position model. Lineage: Bacteria; Pseudomonadati; Pseudomonadota; Gammaproteobacteria; Enterobacterales; Enterobacteriaceae. The record is from RNAcentral.